Culex pipiens pallens (northern house mosquito) is the source of this 745-nucleotide long non-coding RNA. RefSeq lists it as uncharacterized. The record is from RefSeq and is a predicted model, not a curated record. The transcript is spliced from 2 exons. NCBI's taxonomy places the organism in Eukaryota, Metazoa, Arthropoda, Insecta, Diptera, Culicidae.
UAGGUUCAACGUAAGUUAUGAAUGUCCCAAACCCCGUGGUGAAAACUAAAAAUGACAUGGUUACCAUGACUGAACAUUCCAAGUGGUGAAAUUGAGCUACUGCCCACUGAGAAAUUUAACAACCCGAUCGGCCUUACAUCAGCCCUAUUUUGUUCAACCAUCAGAAUGAUCGGGGCGUUACAUUUCUCAGAGGUUGUGGCCCUGACCUGUCAAAGGCCUUGACUUGGCAGCUGUCAACGAGAAAAAGUGUUGACUGUUUUUAUAAAAAGUUAGGACUGUCCCGAAAAGUGUGAUGAUUCUUGCAAUCAAAUAUUCUGGCCAAGAAACAAAAACCACCCAAACCGAAUGCCCAUGUGAAGUUUUCCUCAAAACAAAAUAGCUAUCGUGAUCGGGAAAGUUGGGCCCGGAAUGUAUAUGCGAGAGCACUUUGACAUGCCGCUCUUGAACCGGAAGCACCCUUCCGGAAGAUCUUGCUCCAAUUCCGGCGGAAAUGGUUGUUUUCCGGGAGAUCUUGACUGGCACGGCGUGAUAGAAAUAUGUCGAGAAGGCGUUCGACAGGUUCCAUAACCCAGACUUUUAUAAGAACAUUUGCUGGUUGCAAACUGGCCUGGAUGUUCCGUCCAAGCAGCAUGACGACAUGAACUUUCAAGUAAGGAUUCCGCUAGAGAGAUGCUGAAAGUGUGGGUAUGUGUCAUAUAAAAAUAACUUGAGCAUAACAUUGUAAGAAAAACGAUCGUUCACAAUA